GGAGCGGUCGUAGCUGACUGGUUAAGGUGUUCGCUUUGUAAGUGAAUGGUUCUGGGUUCGAUUCCCAUCUGCUCCC
RNAcentral lists this transfer RNA (76 nucleotides) under Culex quinquefasciatus (southern house mosquito). RNAcentral describes it as "tRNA-Thr". It matches the Rfam family "tRNA". Rfam says of the family: Transfer RNA (tRNA) molecules are approximately 80 nucleotides in length. The record is from RNAcentral. Lineage: Eukaryota; Metazoa; Arthropoda; Insecta; Diptera; Culicidae.